This 253-nucleotide ribosomal RNA is filed under the name uncultured bacterium. RNAcentral's name for it is "partial 16S ribosomal RNA". It matches the Rfam family "Bacterial small subunit ribosomal RNA", at positions 524 to 776 of the family's 1533-position model. The record is from RNAcentral.
UACGAGAGGCCCAAACGUUAUUCGGAAUUACUGGGCUUAAAGAGUUCGUAGGCGGCGCAGAAAGUAGGGUGUGAAAGCCCUCGGCUUAACCGAGGAAUUGCGCUCUAAACUACUGUGCUUGAGGAACCUAGAGGUGAGCAGAACUGAUGGUGGAGCGGUGAAAUGCGUUGAUAUCAUCAGGAAUACCGGAGGCGAAGGCGGCUCACUGGGGGUUUUCUGACGCUGAGGAACGAAAGCCAGGGGAGCAAACGGG